Molecule: ribosomal RNA, 115 nt
Filed under: Escherichia coli
Lineage: Bacteria; Pseudomonadati; Pseudomonadota; Gammaproteobacteria; Enterobacterales; Enterobacteriaceae
Source: RNAcentral
CUGGCGGCCUUAGCGCGGUGGUCCCACCUGACCCCAUGCCGAACUCAGAAGUGAAACGCCGUAGCGCCGAUGGUAGUGUGGGGUCUCCCCAUGCGAGAGUAGGGAACUGCCAGGU